RNAcentral lists this ribosomal RNA (465 nucleotides) under Vreelandella stevensii. Its description in RNAcentral is "partial 16S ribosomal RNA". It matches the Rfam family "Bacterial small subunit ribosomal RNA", at positions 338 to 795 of the family's 1533-position model. The record is from RNAcentral. Lineage: Bacteria; Pseudomonadati; Pseudomonadota; Gammaproteobacteria; Oceanospirillales; Halomonadaceae.
CCUACGGGUGGCUGCAGUGGGGAAUAUUGGACAAUGGGCGAAAGCCUGAUCCAGCCAUGCCGCGUGUGUGAAGAAGGCCUUCGGGUUGUAAAGCACUUUCAGUGGGGAAGAAAGCCUUGGGGCUAAUACCCUCGAGGAAGGACAUCACCCACAGAAGAAGCACCGGCUAACUCCGUGCCAGCAGCCGCGGUAAUACGGAGGGUGCGAGCGUUAAUCGGAAUUACUGGGCGUAAAGCGCGCGUAGGCGAUCUGAUAAGCCGGUUGUGAAAGCCCCGGGCUCAACCUGGGAACGGCAUCCGGAACUGUCAGGCUAGAGUGCAGGAGAGGAAGGUAGAAUUCCCGGUGUAGCGGUGAAAUGCGUAGAGAUCGGGAGGAAUACCAGUGGCGAAGGCGGCCUUCUGGACUGACACUGACGCUGAGGUGCGAAAGCGUGGGUAGCAAACAGGAUUAGAUACCCGUGUAGUC